CCUACGGGAGGCAGCAGUAGGGAAUAUUGCUCAAUGGGGGAAACCCUGACCCAGCAACGCCGCGUGAAGGAAGAAGGCUUUCGGGUUGUAAACUUCUUUUAAGGGGGAAGAGCAGAAGACGGUACCCCUUGAAUAAGCCACGGCUAACUACGUGCCAGCAGCCGCGGUAAUACGUAGGUGGCAAGCGUUAUCCGGAUUUACUGGGUGUAAAGGGCGUGCAGCCGGAGAGACAAGUCAGAUGUGAAAUCCACGGGCGCAACCCUGGAACUGCAUUUGAAACUGUUUCCCUUGAGUGUCGGAGAGGCAACCGAAAUUCGUUGUGUAGCGGUGAAAUGCGUAGAUAGAAGGAAGAACCCCGGUGGCGAAGGCGGAUUACUGGAGGAUAACUGACGGUGAGGCGCGAAAGCGUGGGGAGCAAACAGGAUUAGAUACCCGGGUAGUC
RNAcentral lists this ribosomal RNA (442 nucleotides) under uncultured bacterium. Its description in RNAcentral is "partial 16S ribosomal RNA". It matches the Rfam family "Bacterial small subunit ribosomal RNA", at positions 338 to 795 of the family's 1533-position model. The record is from RNAcentral.